CUCAACCAGAUGCCUCUGCCCCUUUCCCCCACAAAGUCAGAAAGUAGUUGUAUGUGAUCAAAUAUAGAGACAGAGAAACUUUGGAGACCUCAACAUAUUGCCUUCCAAGGUGGCUGCCUAUGACAAGACACUGAGUAAGAUGGCAUUCUUUGAUCCGUCAAGGGCUCAAGACUUUGUGUUCAUAUCUGGGACUAAGAUGCGGAGCCUGGCUAAGUGAGCCCCGGUGGAUGGAAAGUGUUGGUGGAAUACUACGAGAGUCUGGCUCCGGCCAGCAACGGCCGGGUGCCUCAACCACUUGCUGCUUGAUGUUGAUGAUGAUGUUGAUCAUCACUCUGUAUAAUAUGUCAUGUUUCUAAACUAUCUUCCUCAAUAAUCUCUAAUGUGUGAUGUUAUAUAUAAUGUGCCACUGCCACAGAUGUAAUAUAGUGGGCUAGUACUAAACAUACAUUCCACUUUGUAUAAUAAAUUCCCAUGGUUUGAUUUAUAUGCAAACUGAUAUCAUAUGUAUCCCAUCCCUCUCUUGCAGAUUUUUCUC
Molecule: long non-coding RNA, 535 nt
Organism: Salvia hispanica
Lineage: Eukaryota; Viridiplantae; Streptophyta; Magnoliopsida; Lamiales; Lamiaceae
Source: RefSeq, a predicted model, not a curated record